UAUAACGGUCAAAGCGGAGGUGUAACAUCCGAUCCCAUCCCGAUCUCGGAAAUUAAGCCCUCCAGCGAUUCUUUAAGUACUGCUAUCUAGUGGGAACAAAGUGACGCCGUUAGUC
RNAcentral lists this ribosomal RNA (115 nucleotides) under Methanococcus vannielii. The record is from RNAcentral. Lineage: Archaea; Methanobacteriati; Methanobacteriota; Methanococci; Methanococcales; Methanococcaceae.